UACGUAGGGGGCAAGCGUUGUCCGGAUUUAUUGGGCGUAAAGAGCGUGUAGGCGGCCACACAGGUCAGCUGUGAAAACUCGAGGCUCAACCUCGAGACGUCGGUUGAAACCGUAUGGCUAGAGUCCGGAAGAGGAGAGUGGAAUUCCCGGUGUAGCGGUGAAAUGCGCAGAUAUCGGGAAGAACACCCGUGGCGAAGGCGGCUCUCUGGGCCGACAUUGACGCUGAGGAGCGAAAGCGUGGGGAGCGAACAGG
This 253-nucleotide ribosomal RNA is filed under the name uncultured bacterium. Its description in RNAcentral is "partial 16S ribosomal RNA". It matches the Rfam family "Bacterial small subunit ribosomal RNA", at positions 524 to 776 of the family's 1533-position model. The record is from RNAcentral.